GUAGUCUAGGACAGGUCCGUUACAGACAGACAGGUUGUGUAGUCUAGGACAGGUCCGUUACAGACAGACAGACAGGUUGUGUAGUCUAGGACAGGUCCGUUCCAGACAGACAGUCUAGGACAGGUCAACGACAGACAGGCUGUGUAGUGACAGACAGCUGAUAUGAACAGUGAUUAGAGUGUAGUAAUAACAAUA
Non-coding RNA from Salmo salar (Atlantic salmon), 195 nucleotides. The record is from RefSeq and is a predicted model, not a curated record. Lineage: Eukaryota; Metazoa; Chordata; Actinopteri; Salmoniformes; Salmonidae.